RNAcentral lists this ribosomal RNA (380 nucleotides) under uncultured bacterium. Its description in RNAcentral is "bacterial SSU rRNA". It matches the Rfam family "Archaeal small subunit ribosomal RNA", at positions 473 to 853 of the family's 1478-position model. The record is from RNAcentral. RNAcentral also lists the same sequence under 1 other name.
AUAGCUGCAGCUCGAGUGGUGACCACUAUUAUUGGGCCUAAAACGUCCGUAGCCGGUCUAGUAAAUGCCUGGGUAAAUCGUGCCGCUUAACGGUACGAAUUCCGGGUAGACUGCUAGACUUGAGAUCGGGAGAGGUUAGAGGUACUCCUGGGGUAGAGGUGAAAUUCUGUAAUCCUGGGAGGACCACCUGUGGCGAAAGCGUCUAACCAGAACGAGUCUGACGGUGAGGGACGAAGCCCUGGGUCACAAACCGGAUUAGAUACCCGGGUAGUCCAGGGUGUAAACGCUGCUUGCUUGAUGUUAGUUGGGCUACGAGCCCAACUAGUGUCGGAGAGAAGUUGUUAAGCAAGCUGCCUGGGAAAUACGGUCGCAAGGCUGAA